ACUCCUACGGGAGGCAGCAGUGGGGAAUAUUGCACAAUGGAGGGAACUCUGAUGCAGCAACGCCGCGUGGAGGAAGAAGGUUUUCGGAUUGUAAACUCCUGUCAUUUGGGACGAUAAUGACGGUACCAAAGGAGGAAGCCACGGCUAACUACGUGCCAGCAGCCGCGGUAAU
Molecule: ribosomal RNA, 172 nt
Filed under: uncultured Lutispora sp.
Lineage: Bacteria; Bacillati; Bacillota; Clostridia; Lutisporales; Lutisporaceae
Description: partial 16S ribosomal RNA
Rfam family: Bacterial small subunit ribosomal RNA
Source: RNAcentral